Molecule: transfer RNA, 112 nt
Filed under: Nanobdellota archaeon
Lineage: Archaea; Nanobdellati; Nanobdellota
Description: tRNA-Phe
Rfam family: tRNA
About the family: Transfer RNA (tRNA) molecules are approximately 80 nucleotides in length. Their secondary structure includes four short double-helical elements and three loops (D, anti-codon, and T loops).
Source: RNAcentral
GGGACAGUAGCUCAGCUUGGGAGAGCACACGGCUGAAGACCGUGGAGUCGUGGGUUCAAAUGCGAUGUUGAAGCAUGCACCUUCAGCAAAGCUGAAGAUCCCACCUGUCCCA